AGUGAACGCUGGCGGUAGGCCUAACACAUGCCAGUCGAACGGCAGCACAGUAAGAGCUUGCUCUUACGGGUGGCGAGUGGCGGACGGGUGAGGAAUACAUCGGAAUCUACUUUUUCGUGGGGGAUAACGUAGGGAAACUUACGCUAAUACCGCAUACGACCUACGGGUGAAAGCAGGGGAUCUUCGGACCUUGCGCGAUUGAAUGAGCCGAUGUCGGAUUAGCUAGCUGGCGGGGUAAAGGCCCACCAAGGCGACGAUCCGUAGCUGGUCUGAGAGGAUGAUCAGCCACACUGGAACUGAGACACGGUCCAGACUCUUACGGGAGGCAGCAGUGCGGAAUAUUGGACAAUGGGCGAAAGCGUGAUCCAGCCAUACCGCGUGGGUGAAGAAGGCCUUCGGGUUGUAAAGCCCUUUUGUUGGGAAAGAAAAGCAGCAGGUUAAUACCCCGCUGUUCUGACGGUACCCAAAGAAUAAGCACCGGCUAACUUCGUG
RNAcentral lists this ribosomal RNA (492 nucleotides) under uncultured bacterium. Its description in RNAcentral is "partial 16S ribosomal RNA". It matches the Rfam family "Bacterial small subunit ribosomal RNA", at positions 29 to 507 of the family's 1533-position model. The record is from RNAcentral.